AAAAACAUCGCCUCUUGACUUCCAAAUAAGAGGUCCAGCCUGCCCAGUGAAUUUUUAACGGCCGCGGUAUCCUAACCGCGCGAAGGUAGCAUAAUCACUUGUUCUUUAAAUGGGGACUCGUAUCAACGGCAUCACGAGGGUUCUACUGUCUCCUCUUUUUGAUCAGUGAAAUUGAUCUUCCCGUGAAGAAGCGGGAAUAUUAAUAUAAGACGAGAAGACCCCAUGGAGCUUUAAACCAAAUAGCAACUUAACCAUAUAUUGCCUAAUAACUUUAAGCCCGUGCUACAAGGUUUUUGGUUGGGGUGACCGCGGAGUAAAAUACAUCCUCCACGACGGAAAGACUUUAAUCUUUAUUUAAGAACUACAAUUCUAGAAAUUAGUAUACUAACGUUUACUGACCCGACAAUCGAUCAACGGAACAAGUUACCCUGGGGAUAACAGCGCAAUCUACUUCAAGAGCCCAUAUCGACAAGUAGGCUUACGACCUCGAUGUUGGAUCAGGGUAUCCCAGUGGUGCAGCCGCUACUGAAGGUUCGUUUGUUCAACGAUUAAAACCCUACGUGAUCUGAG
Molecule: ribosomal RNA, 570 nt
Filed under: Polypedates megacephalus (Hong Kong whipping frog)
Lineage: Eukaryota; Metazoa; Chordata; Amphibia; Anura; Rhacophoridae
Description: partial 16S ribosomal RNA
Rfam family: Bacterial large subunit ribosomal RNA
Source: RNAcentral